Molecule: long non-coding RNA, 1176 nt
Filed under: Cyanistes caeruleus (blue tit)
Lineage: Eukaryota; Metazoa; Chordata; Aves; Passeriformes; Paridae
Description: lncRNA (ENSCCEG00000021334.1)
Source: RNAcentral
GUCUGACACCUGAAACAAGAAAGAAGCAAAAGGAUCUGCCUUUUAAAAGUUUACAUCUCUGGGAACUGCUUACUUCUGGAAGGCAGACAUCAGUCACAAAGAACAGCUAUUUUGGAGUUCUAGACCUUCAUCCUAAUACCUACAUUAAGAUUUCCACUUCUGCAUCACAGGAAUCCUAAACCCCUUCAGUGUCCUCCUAAAUGGGAGUCCUGAAGAAGCAGAAAAACACCCGAACCCAGAAUCCCAAGUUAUCUCUGCUAACUGCAAGGAAUGAUCCAAACUUGCAGGGUGAAGAACUGCAGAGAAAGAUAUGCAUGGAUAACAGACUUAGAACAACUCCAGAAGAAAAAUGCUGCUCACAGAGUGCUGGCAUACAUUCAGAAAUCAGCCUUCUGUUUUGGAUACAGCCACAUUUCCUGCCCAUACCCACUCUCUCAGCACUGAUGCCAGCCAAAGCUCAUCCUCUGCUGAAGGACCUUCAGCUCAGCCUUCCCCAAAUAUAUUGGAAAGACAAUGUAUUAACAAAACAAAACAAAAAAGAAGCAGAAAAGGAGAGAGACAAGAGCACAGAGGAGGCCCGGAGGGAAAGAAAAAUAUUCAAAUAAUGGAGUAAGGGUGAGGCUGGCAAACUUUGUGGCAGUGAAACAACAGAUGGACUGUAGUUUUAGUGAUUCAUCACACAGAUGGUUCAGCAGAUGGAUUCUGUUGGGUUCAUACAGCUUAGGUGGAAAUAUCAGCUGCUGAUCUUGACAGGCAGGGCAGCUUCAGCAGAGGCAGUAUCCUUGCUUUGCCUUCCCUUGUACAUGUCCUGUUUUCCCAGACUGGCAGUGCAGGGACAAUGCUGAGUGCCACAGCAUUGGCCAGCCUUUGUGCUCCUUACAUGCCACAUAGUUCAAGAUUUUCUCUGUCUGUUCUAGGAAGGAAAAAGUUUGCUGUGAGUGGAUGUACCACCUCAUUUCUGCCACCCAGUCAAGUGACAAAUGCUGUUCCUUGGGAAACAAAAACAUCUACAGAUUGUGAUGAUUUCUAUCUAUAAAAAUUCUGUCAGCCUGGAUAGCAUUUCUGACAGAGUAUAACUUCUCCAAGGGAUGAAACAUCUUCCCAGUUUUACUGUGGGGGGUCUAGAUUCCCAAAUAACCUAUGACCAUUAAUGCAAUAAAGAGGAAUUAAAGCACA